This 491-nucleotide ribosomal RNA is filed under the name uncultured bacterium. RNAcentral's name for it is "partial 16S ribosomal RNA". It matches the Rfam family "Bacterial small subunit ribosomal RNA", at positions 29 to 506 of the family's 1533-position model. The record is from RNAcentral.
AGUGAACGCUGGCGGUAGGCCUAACACAUACAAGUCGAACGGCAGCACAGUAAGAGCUUGCUCUUACGGGUGGCGAGUGGCGGACGGGUGAGGAAUACAUCGGAAUCUACUUUUUCGUGGGGGAUAACGUAGGGAAACUUACGCUAAUACCGCAUACGACCUACGGGUGAAAGCAGGGGAUCUUCGGACCUUGCGCGAUUGAAUGAGCCGAUGUCGGAUUAGCUAGUUGGCGGGGUAAAGGCCCACCAAGGCGACGAUCCGUAGCUGGUCUGAGAGGAUGAUCAGCCACACUGGAACUGAGACACGGUCCAGACUCCUACGGGAGGCAGCAGUGGGGAAUAUUGGACAGUGGGCGCAAGCCUGAUCCAGCCAUACCGCGUGGGUGAAGAAGGCCUUCGGGUUGUAAAGCCCUUUUGUUGGGAAAGAAAAGCAGCAGGUUAAUACCCCGCUGUUCUGACGGUACCCAAAGAAUAAGCACCGGCUAACUUCGU